UUGGUGAAGUCCUCCUCUCCGUCUUUAAUCGAGGGCUGUAAGGGGGCAAGAUUCCUGAGGCUCCUCCCCUCUGGGGCGGGUUGAUCCUCCCCCACUCCGCCUCCAUCUGCACAUAGGAGAAGCAUGGUGGAGCAAAUUCACCUCACCCUAAUUCCCAGAACGCUCAAAAACCUGGUACAAGAGAUUUCUGUUUGAGUCAAAAUGCUCUAGGUACCAACACGUUCUUUGUACCAAAUUACAGACCCGUUGCUUUUGAGUUUCCCUUCUGAUGCUGAAUUUAUUUUUUUCUGAAUGCUGGACCUGAAGCCCAUUACUGAGAAGUCAGCUUUCACCCAUGUCCCUUGUGGAAACUCUGGUUUACAAAUUAUAUGAUAAAUGGUAAGAAAAGGAGGAGAAAUGAAUGGCUGAAACAGGUGCACACGUGAUCAAACGUGAAUUUCACAGAAGGCACUAAGAGAGUAAGAUACUAUGCCACCAAAUGGAACCACUAAUCUGCUGGAGACACUGGUCAGCUCUUGGCAUCAGGCUCCAAAACCAAUCCCAGCCCUAAACAUGCCAUAUUAACAAAGGAAUUUCAUCUACUGUAUUUUCGGCUUGAGCCUGACUUCCCAAGUUUCCGAGAGAAUUAUUAGGAAAACAGUUUGAUAGCAAACACUUUAGGUGCAACUUCUGCAUUGAGGAAAAAAAAAAAAUCUAAGCCAAUUCAAAGGUGUAAAAAUAUCAGUCCACAAAAUACAGGGUUUUAUUAAUUCAGUGGCAUAAUGUAAAGUUUGCCUAACACAUCGUAUACAUGUGAAAAGCAAUGAGGCGGGGAGAUGCAUUUCAAGAAGCCGCUGAGGGUCGGGACCGUUUCUUGUGUCUCAGACAUCGGAUGUACCUGACACCUCCCUGGCCAGUACCUGCUUCUGGUCCCGAGAGCACAAUUUUUCUUUUUCGUUUAUUAGAACUGUUCUUUAUGAAUUGUACUCGACAUCACGAAACAGGAGACGGGAACAUAUUUGUACCUCCCUUUCCUUUUCCUGCGGCUUUACAACAAACGGUGUGGCCAGCGCCUCCUGGCCCUGAAUGCAGGUGGAGAGUCUUUCGUUUUUUCCCUCCUGUUUAUGGGCAGGAUGGUGACAAGACACCAGAUCUUCUCCCGAGGCAUCCCUGCUCCAGGCCUCUGGAUAUCCCAAAGCCCAAUCUGAUGAUGUGCCUCUAAACAUGAAAAUCUUUCCAGGAUAAGAUCCAACCUCCUCAGCGAGGGGCCCCCCCUUCUUCACGACCAGCUCCCCCGGCCGCUGGGGGCCUCCUCUCUCCCUGACCCUCUUGGAAGCUUCACCUCAGAACCGGCUCUGUUCUCUUCAUCUUCGAAGUGAAGCUCACUACACAUCUUCCACAUGCCUCCCCGACCCACCCUCCUGGCCAGGUGCCUAUAUAUAGCUUGCUUCCUUUUGGGGCCUUCUUCCCCGGUGUAGCUGUUGGUUUUCUUCUGUGGCCCUUCCUAGACCUGGAGAGUCAGAAUAGCACAGCCGAUGCUCCAUAUGUCUGCAGCUCCCUUCCCUGAGCUUGGCACGCACUGGGUGAUCAGCAAGGCAGACCUGUGGGCAGUGGAACAGAUCAAGUCACCAGCAAGGGACUGGUGACAGAAGACAGAGUGGCUUUGUGUUGUACGUGCCUUCAGAGACGGGGGUGGGGGGGCCCUUGUGGACAUGUGAGUGGGAGCCCGGGGGAGUGUUCCUGCCCUCCAUUAGCCCACGUUGCACUGCCCACGACCGGGAGGGCUCCCCACAAAUGUCCCUCCUUGGUCCUCCUGUACCUUUCUCUUCAACUCCCUGCCCUUCUCUCUUCCAGGGGCCCAAAGCAUUCAGGGAGGUUGGCUGGGAAUUGAGGGGAGGUUUAGAAAGGCACACCAGGGAGGCACGUGACUGUUCUUCCCAGACCGGCAUUUCGCAGACGCUGGCCCCAGGAGGCCGUGGGCAGAGGCGGCACCAUGGGAUUGGAUCAUGUCCAGGAAGAGUCCGCCCUGGCUGUCCAUCCCAAAGGGCCGAGGAGAGCUGCAGAACUCAGGAGCCUCAGGAGCCCCUGGACCAGAGAGACCCGGCCAGAGUGGAAGGAAAGAGACCCCUGCAGUCCAGCUGUGUGUUGUUCCUAGCUAAGUGAUCUGGAUGAGUGCCAGACGCAGCGCUGCUUUGGGGGGAAGCAGGAAAGGCCACGAACUAAAUGCUGCUGUUUGCAAAAAGCUUGCUGUGACCUGCCGUGUGGGUGCUGGCUGAUCGUAGACUGAGUCCUGACACUGGGGUGAAGCCAGCCAGGCCCUGGCAGUUGGGUUCUCAGAUGCUCCAGCCCUGAGCGGAAGGCUGGGAAGUAUUAUGGCUGUGCGUCACCUGCACACAACGUGGAGAUUGGCUACCUAAUUAAUAGCUGUCUUCCGGGAACACUGCCCCUGAAAAGGGUGUCCCGAAUCCAGGCCCCGCUGAAGGUUUGGAUGGCAUGCUUCUUCUGUCCCUGAAAUAAGCGAUUGGAUUCAACACGCCUGAGUCUCAGAACCAGCUUGGGCAGAGAAAAGCCAUUAUCUUCAGGAAGGCUGCAGGUGCAGAUGUGGGCUCGGGCAGGCGGAGCUGGACCCGGCCGGGAGAGGAGAAGGUUAACACAAAAUCCGUAUGGAGACCCGGCGAGGUGUUCCAGCUGUUGUAGGUUGGCAGAGAUUCACAGCCAGCAAUGAGCGAGGAAGUUUGGGGCCCUCGUGGGGCUCCUCUGGAAGGGUAAUGACGUCCCUGCUCAGCUUGGGGUUUUACGUGCAUCUGUUCGAUGGGAUGCGUGGGCACUGCCGUUGCCAGGCUGGAAAACAGUAACCCAGGCUGAAAACGUAAUAGAACGCACCCUAGGAGAGAGGGUGAUGGCUGGGUGUGAGAGCCACGGGGUUUUGCAACAGAGGAGAGGAGAGGGGAGCGCGUUGGAGACGGGAGAAUGGAUGAUUGAUGGCACAUUAACGUAUGCGCCAAGCUGAGGUCGCUGUUCGGGAGUCCUUGGAAGCGUGGUCUGACCGCCCAACUGUGGCUCCCACUGAGAAGCCCCUCUGCCCCCCCCGCCACACUGGCGGGGGGUGGGAUGGGGAGGCUGGGUUUGGGGGGGAACUGCUGGCUCUGAGCGCGCUCCGCCCACACACCAGGGCAGGCACCCGGCCCCGUGGCUCCCCCCCACCUUCAGUAACAGAGGCAGCUGCAGUGACCGUCAUUUCUCAGGGACUGCUCACACAGUGAUGUUAUUUCAUAAACAUAGUGGCCCUUGCUGGCUUUUAGGUUAGGCCGCAACGUUCUUGCCCCAAAUGGGCCCUACUGGGGAGCACAUCAUGUCCUCUGGAGCAUUUCCUGAGGUUGCCAUAACAAAGUAUUGCAGAUGGGGUGACUUCAAACAACAGAAAUGUAUUCUGUCGCAGCUCUGGAGGCCGGCAGUCCCAACGUCACGGGGUCCGUUCCUUCCGCCCUGCGCUGCUGAGGCCCGUGAUGAAGAAGGGUGUGAACUGGUCCCUGUGAGGAAGGCCCCUCCGUCUCUGUCGGUGGGCUUUCUUGUUUGAGGAAGGGGAGACGGGAGAAUGGCUCACAGCGAUGCCGGGCCUCAGUGAGGGGACGGCCUGGCUGUCUCAGUCCCGGGCCCCUGGACGCUUUCCUCCAGGUCUUGAGGUUGACUUCCUAUGACAGUCACUGAGUGUGUGCCCUGCGGAGGGGUUUCCAGAGUCUUGUCUCAGCGUCUGUCACAGGUGAUGGCACCCAGGUGUGCUUGGGCCGGCUCUGUGAGCAGCUUUCCUCCUACAACGGUUGCCCCACUUGACAGGUGAGAAAACCAAGGCCCAGGGAGCUCAGGAAGUUUGCUCCAGCUCAGUGGCAGAGCUAGUAAGUAGGCAAGCCAGGAUGCAGCAGCCCCAGGUGGUCAGCCCCUGAGCCCACUCUCCUCCCCUCCCCUCACACAGCCUCCAGCAAGGUGCAGGCAACUCUAGUGAGUGGAUGUGCACCUGUGAGUGUGUCUGUGAGUGUGCAUUUGCAAGUGUCUGUGAGUGUGCAUCUAUGUGCGUGUCUGUGAGUGUACAUGAGUCUGAGUGUGAGUCUGUGAGACGGUGCCUCUGUGAGUGAGUGUGCAUCUGUGUGUGUGUCUGUGAGCGUGUCUUCUGAGUCUCUCCAUUCCUGCAGUCAUAGACCAUAUUUCAUAUAGAGAGCAGACAGUGAAGGCUGAAUCAAAAUUAAGUCAUUAUCGUAUGAAUGAGGCUAGUUCUAUAAUUUAUCAUCGCCAUAGAUUUUCUAUAUUUCAAGUGAAGAUAAUAGAAUUUUCUGCCUUAAGUAUGAGAUGGGAAAUGUAAAUCUUGGGUCGGGUGAAAUGCACUUGCUGAGGAAUCUGGACAGGACGGGGGAAACCGCCAUCUGUAGUCCCAGUGUUCCGCAGUUCUGUUUUGGGUCUGAAUGGAAGAAGAUAAUUUUGAACCUUCGUACCUUCUCACUUCUCCCUGAAGCUUCGGCUCCCAGGGUCCUGUGGCCUCAGACCAUGGGGAUGCCAAUGCAGAGCAAGCAUGGACUCAUCAGUUUCACCACAAAUCCCACACCCCAGGAGCCCUUUUAUAGUGUCUGUCUGCUGCCUCAUGAGAGAAAUCUCUCUCCACUCAGCCCCAACCUUAUUUUCCUAAGUAGGUUUCUGUGAAAGAACUUUCCAUGUGGUACUGUUCACAACAUGAAGUGUAAUAAAUUGGACCACUUCUUUGUCCAAGAAA
This is a long non-coding RNA of Leopardus geoffroyi (Geoffroy's cat), 4738 nucleotides long. RefSeq lists it as uncharacterized. The record is from RefSeq and is a predicted model, not a curated record. NCBI's taxonomy places the organism in Eukaryota, Metazoa, Chordata, Mammalia, Carnivora, Felidae. The transcript has 3 exons.